RNAcentral lists this long non-coding RNA (203 nucleotides) under Ursus americanus (American black bear). RNAcentral's name for it is "lncRNA (ENSUAMG00000018634.1)". Lineage: Eukaryota; Metazoa; Chordata; Mammalia; Carnivora; Ursidae. The record is from RNAcentral.
GGGUGACCGGGGCCCACCUGGCCUGGACGGCCGUGGUGGGCUAGAUGGGAAACCAGGAGCCACUGGCCCCCCUGGGCUGCAUGGUGCUACAGGCAAAGCUGGAGACCCAGGGAGAGACGGCCUGCCGGGCCUCCGAGGAGAACAUGGCCCCCCUGGCCCACCUGGCCCCCCUGGAGCCCAGGUGAGACUGAGAUUUCAUGGUA